GCCCGCCUAGCUCAAUUGGCCAGAGCGUCAGACUUUUACGGCCUGAUCUGCGGGUUAAGAUGAAAUCUGAAGGCUGCGGGUUCGACCCCCGCGGUGGGCU
Molecule: non-coding RNA, 100 nt
Organism: Heliocybe sulcata
Lineage: Eukaryota; Fungi; Basidiomycota; Agaricomycetes; Gloeophyllales; Gloeophyllaceae
Source: the annotation of a GenBank genome assembly